This 510-nucleotide ribosomal RNA is filed under the name Candida albicans. RNAcentral's name for it is "eukaryotic LSU rRNA". The stretch from base 143 to 296 matches the Rfam family "5.8S ribosomal RNA". The record is from RNAcentral. Lineage: Eukaryota; Fungi; Ascomycota; Pichiomycetes; Serinales; Debaryomycetaceae.
CUACGGGAUUUGCUUAUUGCACCACAUGUGUUUUUCUUUGAAACAAACUUGCUUUGGCGGUGGGCCCAGCCUGCCGCCAGAGGUCUAAACUUACAACCAAUUUUUUAUCAACUUGUCACACCAGAUUAUUACUAAUAGUCAAAACUUUCAACAACGGAUCUCUUGGUUCUCGCAUCGAUGAAGAACGCAGCGAAAUGCGAUACGUAAUAUGAAUUGCAGAUAUUCGUGAAUCAUCGAAUCUUUGAACGCACAUUGCGCCCUCUGGUAUUCCGGAGGGCAUGCCUGUUUGAGCGUCGUUUCUCCCUCAAACCGCUGGGUUUGGUGUUGAGCAAUACGACUUGGGUUUGCUUGAAAGACGGUAGUGGUAAGGCGGGAUCGCUUUGACAAUGGCUUAGGUCUAACCAAAAACAUUGCUUGCGGCGGUAACGUCUACCACGUAUAUCUUCAAACUUUGACCUCAAAUCAGGUAGGACUACCCGCUGAACUUAAGCAUAUCAAUAAGCGGAGGAA